This 368-nucleotide ribosomal RNA is filed under the name uncultured organism. RNAcentral describes it as "bacterial SSU rRNA". It matches the Rfam family "Bacterial small subunit ribosomal RNA", at positions 526 to 896 of the family's 1533-position model. The record is from RNAcentral.
CGAAGGAUGCAAGCGUUAUCCGGAUUCAUUGGGUUUAAAGGGAGCGUAGGCGGUCUUGUAAGUCAGUGGUGAAAUCUCUCGGCUUAACUGAGAAAUUGCCAUUGAUACUGCAGGACUUGAGUACAGUUGCCGUUGGCGGAAUAUGACAUGUAGUGGUGAAAUACAUAGAGAUGUCAUAGAACACCGAUUACGAAGGCAGCUAACGAAACUGUAACUGACGCUGAGGCUCGAAAGUGCGGGGAUCAAACAGGAUUAGAUACCCUGGUAGUCCGCACUGUAAACGAUGAUUACUCGCUGCUAGGAGGUAACUUUUAGUGGCUUAGCGAAAGCGAUAAGUAAUCCACCUGGGGAGUACGCCGGCAACGGUG